CCAAUAGCGUAUAUUAAAGUUGUUGCAGUUAAAAAGCUCGUAGUUGAAUUUUGGAUUCUUCCAAUUGGUCCAUCUUUUAGAUGAGUACUGGUUGUGUGGGGUCUAUCCGCCUGGUGAUACGUAAUGUCCUUUAUUGGGUGUUGCGGGUAGUCAGGACCUUUACCUUGAAAAAAUUAGAGUGUUUAAAGCAGGCUUAUGCCGGAAUACAUUAGCAUGGAAUAAUAGAAUAGGACGAAGUUGUUUUAUUUUGUUGGUUUCUAGGACAACCGUAAUGAUUAAUAGGGAUAGUUGGGGGCAUUAGUAUUCAAUUGUCAGAGGUGAAAUUCUUGGAUUUAUUGAAGACUAACUACUGCGAAAGCAUUUGCCAAGGAUGUUUUCAUUAAUCAAGAACGAAAGUUAGGGGAUCGAAGACGAUCAGAUACCGUCGUAGUCUUAACCAUAAACUAUGCCGACUAGGGAUCGGGCGAUGUUGUUUCCAUGACUCGCUCGGCACCUUAUG
This 499-nucleotide ribosomal RNA is filed under the name uncultured Glomeromycotina. RNAcentral describes it as "partial small subunit ribosomal RNA". It matches the Rfam family "Eukaryotic small subunit ribosomal RNA", at positions 591 to 1092 of the family's 1831-position model. The record is from RNAcentral. Lineage: Eukaryota; Fungi; Glomeromycota.